RNAcentral lists this ribosomal RNA (200 nucleotides) under uncultured bacterium. RNAcentral's name for it is "partial 16S ribosomal RNA". It matches the Rfam family "Bacterial small subunit ribosomal RNA", at positions 29 to 256 of the family's 1533-position model. The record is from RNAcentral.
AGCGAACGCUGGCGGCAGGCCUAACACAUGCAAGUCGAACGAAGUCUUCGGACUUAGUGGCGGACGGGUGAGUAACACGUGGGAACGUACCUCUUGGUUCGGAACAACUCAGGGAAACUUGAGCUAAUACCGAAUGUGCCCUUCGGGGGAAAGAUUUAUCGCCAUUAGAGCGGCCCGCGUUAGAUUAGCUAGUUGGUGGG